CAGGUUAGGAGCUACCGACGAGCUCAAACUUACAAAUACUCUUCCAAACCUAACUGUUCUUAGUGAACCAAACUAUUUUACAUCAGGCAAAACAACUUCUCUAUCCAUCCCCGCCAUAGCUCAGAGCUCGACACCUUGGGCUACCUGAGCGCCCCCACCAAAAACAAUGCUCUGUUUAAGCCUUCCUGAAACCCUAAUAACAAAAAAUCCGUCCCCACCUCUGACAGAUGCACCCCAUCUUGCCUGUUAAAUCCUGCCAACUUUUAUUCACCUUCCCCUUACUUUUCACCACUGCUCAGUGGUCCCUAGAGUGACGCCAUUGCAACCGCGGUACCAUCUCCGACCAUAUGACAACCACGUCAGCGACCAACUGCCUCAACCUAUCCAAAUCCUUCUUCAUCCCCGUGAGCAAAGCCCUCUGUGACACCAGACCUAAGUCAUUUCCCCCGGCAUGAAACAGACCAAUGCACUUUACCCUCACUAAUCCUCUCAAAUAGCUUUAAGCAAAUCCAUUG
Non-coding RNA from Pelobates cultripes (western spadefoot toad), 515 nucleotides. NCBI's taxonomy places the organism in Eukaryota, Metazoa, Chordata, Amphibia, Anura, Pelobatidae. The record is from the annotation of a GenBank genome assembly.